This 85-nucleotide transfer RNA is filed under the name Clostridia bacterium. Its description in RNAcentral is "tRNA-Tyr". It matches the Rfam family "tRNA". From Rfam's summary of the family: Transfer RNA (tRNA) molecules are approximately 80 nucleotides in length. Their secondary structure includes four short double-helical elements and three loops (D, anti-codon, and T loops). Further hydrogen bonds mediate the characteristic L-shaped molecular structure. tRNAs have two regions of fundamental functional importance: the anti-codon, which is responsible for specific mRNA codon recognition, and the 3' end, to which the tRNAs corresponding amino acid is attached (by aminoacyl-tRNA synthetases). tRNAs cope with the degeneracy of the genetic code in two manners: having more than one tRNA (with a specific anti-codon) for a particular amino acid; and 'wobble' base-pairing, i.e. permitting non-standard base-pairing at the 3rd anti-codon position. RNAcentral also lists the same sequence under 2 other names. The record is from RNAcentral. Lineage: Bacteria; Bacillati; Bacillota; Clostridia.
GGGAGAUUUCCCGAGUGGCCAAAGGGGACAGACUGUAAAUCUGCUGGCUUCGCCUUCGGUGGUUCGAAUCCACCAUCUCCCACCA